RNAcentral lists this small nucleolar RNA (181 nucleotides) under Oikopleura dioica. RNAcentral's name for it is "Small nucleolar RNA U3". It matches the Rfam family "Small nucleolar RNA U3". Rfam says of the family: Small nucleolar RNAs (snoRNAs) are involved in the processing and modification of rRNA in the nucleolus. There are two main classes of snoRNAs: the box C/D class, and the box H/ACA class. The record is from Rfam by way of RNAcentral. Lineage: Eukaryota; Metazoa; Chordata; Appendicularia; Copelata; Oikopleuridae.
AAGAUCAUACUUUUAGGGAUCAUUUCUAUAGUAUGCGUCUACAAAAUGUCAACUAACCUUGACACCCACUAACACCCGAUGAUGCGACAGGGUGGCGUCUCUUGAGCAGGAAGCCGAGGUCUUGUACCUCAUUUGAAGACUGCACCGCUUAGGCGGACGGAGAUGUCACGUUCUGAUGGGU